This 253-nucleotide ribosomal RNA is filed under the name uncultured bacterium. RNAcentral describes it as "partial 16S ribosomal RNA". It matches the Rfam family "Bacterial small subunit ribosomal RNA", at positions 524 to 776 of the family's 1533-position model. The record is from RNAcentral.
UACGGGGGGGGUAAGCGUUGUUCGGAAUUACUGGGCGUAAAGGGCGCGUAGGCGGCCAUGCGUGUCUUCCGUGAAAUCCCUCGGCUUAACUGAGGACGUGCGGAAGAAACUGCAAGGCUCGAGUCCGGGAGAGGGGGGUGGAAUUCCCAGUGUAGCGGUGAAAUGCGUAGAUAUUGGGAGGAACACCGGUGGCGAAGGCGGCCCCCUGGACCGGUACUGACGCUGAGGCGCGAAAGCGUGGGUAGCAAACGGG